GAUUCGCUAGUAAUCGCGCAUCAGCCAUGGCGCGGUGAAUACGUUCCCGGGCCUUGUACACACCGCCCGUCAAGCCAUGGGAGCCGGGGGCGCCUGAAGUCUGUGACCCAACCGUAAGGAGGGAGCAGCCGAAGGCAGGUCGGAUGACUGGGGUGAAGUCGUAACAAGGUAGC
This 173-nucleotide ribosomal RNA is filed under the name uncultured bacterium. RNAcentral's name for it is "partial 16S ribosomal RNA". It matches the Rfam family "Bacterial small subunit ribosomal RNA", at positions 1329 to 1500 of the family's 1533-position model. The record is from RNAcentral.